Molecule: unclassified non-coding RNA, 217 nt
Filed under: Hevea brasiliensis (rubber tree)
Lineage: Eukaryota; Viridiplantae; Streptophyta; Magnoliopsida; Malpighiales; Euphorbiaceae
Source: RNAcentral
UACAUAUUUCUUUUUUCUAUAUUUUGUUAUUUUUAAAGCCUGAAAAAAGGUGACCCAGUCCACAAAAUAUCCUCACUUGUGGCCUUUAGGGAGGGUUGAUGUUGUAGCCUCACCCCUGCUUUGCAAAGAGGCUGUUUUGAUGGCUUGAACCCAUGACCUCUAGGUCACAAGUGAAGUAACUUUAAAUUCUGGAAAAUAAUAUAUUUUUUGAAUGCAG